RNAcentral lists this ribosomal RNA (496 nucleotides) under uncultured bacterium. RNAcentral's name for it is "partial 16S ribosomal RNA". It matches the Rfam family "Bacterial small subunit ribosomal RNA", at positions 28 to 506 of the family's 1533-position model. The record is from RNAcentral.
GACGAACGCUGGCGGCGUGCCUAAUACAUGCAAGUUGAGCGCUGAAGGUUGGUACUUGUACCAACUGGAUGAGCAGCGAACGGGUGAGUAACGCGUGGGGAAUCUGCCUUUGAGCGGGGGACAACAUUUGGAAACGAAUGCUAAUACCGCAUAAAAACUUUAAACACAAGUUUUAAGUUUGAAAGAUGCAAUUGCAUCACUCAAAGAUGAUCCCGCGUUGUAUUAGCUAGUUGGUGAGGUAAAGGCUCACCAAGGCGAUGAUACAUAGCCGACCUGAGAGGGUGAUCGGCCACAUUGGGACUGAGACACGGCCCAAACUCCUACGGGAGGCAGCAGUAGGGAAUCUUCGGCAAUGGACGAAAGUCUGACCGAGCAACGCCGCGUGAGUGAAGAAGGUUUUCGGAUCGUAAAACUCUGUUGGUAGAGAAGAGCGUUGGUGAGAGUGGAAAGCUCAUCAAGUGACGGUAACUACCCAGAAAGGGACGGCUAACUACGU